Molecule: long non-coding RNA, 620 nt
Organism: Alexandromys fortis (reed vole)
Lineage: Eukaryota; Metazoa; Chordata; Mammalia; Rodentia; Cricetidae
Exons: 2
Source: RefSeq, a predicted model, not a curated record
GCUGAAUCAGGGAGUAGCCAUGAUUCUCCCGCUCCAGAAAGACGCAGGUUAAGAUCCUCCCUGAGUAUGGAGGAAGCAGAUGGAAGAAGGCAGUCAGACUGAGUGCUGAGCUUCCAAGGGCCCACAAAGAACAUGGACCUUUAACAUUCUGUCAUCCUGAUCAACGAGUCUGAGGCUGGACAUAAACGACGUGCGAUCAGCCUGCCCGAGUGCCAUGGACUAAUGCACCCAAAAUGUUCUCAAACUGCGCUUUGUUGCCGCAUACCGCACCCCUGUGUCUGCGCUCUGUGCACUGACACCCAGUUUGCGAGCUUCGGGCAAGGGGGCUGGAGGUUAAAAUACACAGACACACACAGACAGAGAGACAGCGACACGGGUCAUCCUUGAAUUCCCCAAGAAUGCCCCCUUUAUUGUGUUCACGGGCAGAUUAUAUAGAGAUAGCCACGCCCCAGCCAAACCCACCAGAAACCACUCUCCUGCCAUCCUGACAGGAGACAACUCCUGAAGGUCUCGUGCUCAGAGCAGCUGUAGGCACUCAGAUCAGGGGAUUACAAGAAAUUCAGGAUCUGGGGUCUCACUGCUCCCAACACUUUGUGAAUAAAGACUUCAUAUAGACUGUC